RNAcentral lists this ribosomal RNA (206 nucleotides) under uncultured bacterium. RNAcentral describes it as "partial 16S ribosomal RNA". It matches the Rfam family "Bacterial small subunit ribosomal RNA", at positions 568 to 774 of the family's 1533-position model. The record is from RNAcentral.
UUCGUAGGUGGCCUACUAAGUCAUACGUGAAAUCCCUCAGCUUAACUGGGGAACUGCGUCUGAUACUGGAAGGCUUGAGUGCAGGAGAGGAACGCGGAAUUCCAGGUGUAGCGGUGAAAUGCGUAGAUAUCUGGAGGAACACCGGUGGCGAAGGCGGCGUUCUGGACUGCAACUGACACUGAGGAACGAAAGCCAGGGAGCAAACG